This 30-nucleotide non-coding RNA is filed under the name Rattus norvegicus (Norway rat). The record is from RNAcentral. Lineage: Eukaryota; Metazoa; Chordata; Mammalia; Rodentia; Muridae.
UCCUCUGUCAAAAUAGGUGAUGGGCAGAGC